Chinchilla lanigera (long-tailed chinchilla) is the source of this 82-nucleotide microRNA precursor. The record is from Ensembl. Lineage: Eukaryota; Metazoa; Chordata; Mammalia; Rodentia; Chinchillidae.
GGCCUGCCCGACACUCUUUCCCUGUUGCACUACUGUGGGCCACUGGGAAGCAGUGCAAUGAUGAAAGGGCAUCGGUCAGGCC